This 474-nucleotide ribosomal RNA is filed under the name Veillonella atypica. RNAcentral describes it as "bacterial SSU rRNA". It matches the Rfam family "Bacterial small subunit ribosomal RNA", at positions 28 to 471 of the family's 1533-position model. Lineage: Bacteria; Bacillati; Bacillota; Negativicutes; Veillonellales; Veillonellaceae. The record is from RNAcentral.
GACGAACGCUGGCGGCGUGCUUAACACAUGCAAGUCGAACGAAGAGCGAUGGAAGCUUGCUUCUAUCAAUCUUAGUGGCGAACGGGUGAGUAACGCGUAAUCAACCUGCCCUUCAGAGGGGGACAACAGUUGGAAACGACUGCUAAUACCGCAUACGAUCCAAUCUCGGCAUCGAGACUGGAUGAAAGGUGGCCUCUAUUUAUAAGCUAUCACUGAAGGAGGGGAUUGCGUCUGAUUAGCUAGUUGGAGGGGUAACGGCCCACCAAGGCGAUGAUCAGUAGCCGGUCUGAGAGGAUGAACGGCCACAUUGGGACUGAGACACGGCCCAGACUCCUACGGGAGGCAGCAGUGGGGAAUCUUCCGCAAUGGACGAAAGUCUGACGGAGCAACGCCGCGUGAGUGAUGACGGCCUUCGGGUUGUAAAGCUCUGUUAAUCGGGACGAAUGGUUCUUGUGCAAAUAGUGCGAGGAUUUG